CUUCCGUAGGGUGAACCUGCGGAAGGGAUCAUUACUGAGAGGUCUAAAAAACCACUAGUUGGGGGUCUCUUCCCCUCUAGUAGUUCCUCACAGUUUUGUGCAAAGUCGGGUCAACUUGGUUGGCUCUGCCUUGUGCUGUAGAUCUGGUUGUUGGCAUAGAGACCCUCCUUUUAGGAGACUUGUGCCACUACUAAGAUCUAGGCUGCUUGAAAAGAGACGUAUGGACCCUUCUUUCAGGAGACCUAUGUCUCGAGUCAAAGCAAGCAAGGCAAGCCUUUGGGGCUCUAGUACUAACUAUCCCCAAAGGUGUUUAUUCUUCUCGUGUAAACCAUGAUGUACGAAAAAGUUAGUUGUUAACUUAAAAACAACUCUUGGCAAUGGAUCUCUUGGUUCUCGCAUCGAUGAAGAGCGUAGCAAAGUGCGAUAAUUAUUGCGACUUGCAUUCAUAGCGAAUCAUCGAGUUCUCGAACGCAUCUUGCGCCUAGUAGUCAAUCUACUAGGCACAGUUGUUUCAGUAUCUGCAACUACCAAUCAGUUCAACUUGGUUCUUUGAACCUAAGCGAGCUGGAAAUGGGCUUGUGUUGAUGGCAUUCAGUUGCUGUCAUGGCCUUAAAUACAUUUAGUCCUAGGCAAUUGGCUUUAGUCAUUUGCCGGAUGUAGACUCUAGAGUGCCUGAGGAGCAACGACUUGGUUAGUGAGUUCAUAAUUCCAAGUCAAUCAGUCUCUUCUUGAACUAGGUCUUAAUCUUUACGGACUAGCGAGAGGAUCUAACUUGGGUCUUCUCUUAAAACAAACUCACAUCUAGAUCUGAAAAUCAACUGAGAUCACCCGCUGAACUUAAGCAUAUCAAUAAGCGGAGGAA
This 862-nucleotide ribosomal RNA is filed under the name Lichtheimia ramosa. RNAcentral's name for it is "eukaryotic LSU rRNA". The stretch from base 367 to 520 matches the Rfam family "5.8S ribosomal RNA". Lineage: Eukaryota; Fungi; Mucoromycota; Mucoromycetes; Mucorales; Lichtheimiaceae. The record is from RNAcentral.